Molecule: ribosomal RNA, 216 nt
Filed under: uncultured fungus
Lineage: Eukaryota; Fungi
Description: partial small subunit ribosomal RNA
Rfam family: Eukaryotic small subunit ribosomal RNA (bases 93-216)
Source: RNAcentral
GCCCUGGCUGGGCGGUCCUGCCUUUCGGUUGGUACUGCUUUGGCUGGGGUUCACCUUCUGGUGAGACGGCAUGCUCUUAAUUGGGUGUGUCGGGGAACCAGGACUUUUACUUUGAAAAAAUUAGAGUGUUUAAAGCAGGCUUACGCUUGAAUACAUUAGCAUGGAAUAAUAGAAUAGGACUUUGGUUCUAUUUUGUUGGUUUCUAGGACCGAAGUA